UGUAAAUUGAGUCUUUUAAUAAAUGUACACGUAACAUGCUCCAUAACACUAAAAUGUACAGCCAUAAAAAAACAUGGGUACGAGGACCCGCGCACCUGUACAACAUAAAACUACACUGACAACAAAACAAUCUCUAACAAAGACAUGAGGGGAAACAGAGGGUUAAAUACACAACAGGUAAUGAAUGGGAUUAAAAACAGGUGUGUGGGAAGACAAGACAAAACCAAUGGAAAAUGGAUCAAUGAGGCUAGAAGACCGGUGACGUCGACCGCCGAGCACCGCCCGAACAAGGAGAGGCAACGACUUCGAUAGAAGUCGUGACGACCGUAAAUAUUAGAAAGCCGGGUUUGACCGUCGACGUUGUAUGAGCUAUACAGUACAGUACCGUUAUCUAGCAAGAUGUCCUAACUUGGCACAACUAGAUCUUAGAAAUUAAUAAAGUCCAUGGGAAUGGAUAUAGACAAAACGAGAUUUCAAGGACUAGCAGAGCAGAGGUAGAGAGGCAGGGGUGAGGACAUCAUCCUGCUAUUUUGACAGUCCUUUUAGGACAAUACAGAAGAGGACUGGAGACCACAGCAGCGAUUCUGCUCUUGCCCAACCUCUUCAAAGAGGAGCCGAGUGGCCUUUAUGUCCGUGACAAGAUUUCACCGCUCUUCACUCCUUUACUGCACAUCGGUGGAAAUCCAUUUCACCAUGAAAGUGAAAUCCCGCUGGCCUUUGAUGGGGAGAACAUCCACCCCCUCGAGGACGUCUCCAUGGGACUUGGGGCUCUACUAGGGCUGUAUUUUUUAUUUUCCCUUAAAUUUCCC
This is a long non-coding RNA of Oncorhynchus gorbuscha (pink salmon), 809 nucleotides long. RefSeq lists it as uncharacterized. The transcript is spliced from 4 exons. NCBI's taxonomy places the organism in Eukaryota, Metazoa, Chordata, Actinopteri, Salmoniformes, Salmonidae. The record is from RefSeq and is a predicted model, not a curated record.